Long non-coding RNA from Cyprinus carpio (common carp), 1241 nucleotides. The record is from Ensembl. Lineage: Eukaryota; Metazoa; Chordata; Actinopteri; Cypriniformes; Cyprinidae.
GCCAGAUCCUGCUUGAAAAGUGUAAAGCAGCAGAGAUGCAGCCGACAUAUGGAGAUGACGGAACACUCCCGACUCCAAGACGGCAGAGGAAGAUGGAGAGAAGCUCAAAGAGAGCAGGUCUGGGCAGGCAGCGAUGGUGAUGCGUCAGCGGCGCUCCGUGCCGUGUCAGUCACCAUAUGCUGGGAGAGAGGAGCAGGGAGUCGUAUCACGGUGGUAGUUUUUUGGCGUCGUGAGGAGGAGGAGGAGGAGGAAGAGGGGGAGUCAGAGCUCAGGGCUCACGGUACAUGUAGCACAUCAGAUCUCCCUCAAUUAAUCCAACAUUAGGUGCCUGGGAUCCACGAGUCAGUGCUUUUGGAAAGCAUGUGUGGCUCAAAUCUAAUUAUUCUCUCCCUUUCUUUGAGCCGGAGAGGGUGGAGAGAGAUAGAGAGAGAGAGAGUGGCCAUCCACGUAGCUAUAGGUUUUGUUAUGCUGUGAUUUCUCUCUCUCUCUCCCUCGCUCGCCCGCUCACUCCGAACCCCCUUCUACCCCCACCUCCUCUUCUCUCUCACUCAUUCUCCAUCUCUCGCUCACACACACACGCGCCAAACACUCUCUCUCUCCUCCUCUGCCUCUCUCUCUCCGUCUGUCUCUCCCUCCCUCAGCUUCACUCGCUCUUGUGCUGUAAGUUCAUUUGCUGUGUCAAGCAACAACUGGCUCGGGAGUGGGCAGUGGGUUUUGAUCCUUUUGUCAAGCAUCCCCCCUGCGAGUGUGUACCGCGUCCACCUGCGCACCACGGGACUGGCCGCCUGGCUCUCUCUAACAUCGCCGCACCGUCCUGGGUUUAUCACGAUCAGGCAUCCCACCUUGCUGAGAUGGGCGGCACGAUGAGAUGCUGAAGGUUUGACGGGGCGAACCCGCUACUGUGGACUAUCAUCAUCACCAUCAUCGGAAUCAUCGCAGUGGCAAUGGGAGUCAGGACAUGGAUGCUAGCCGGAGGAUCUCCGCAGGGUCCUUGCAUCCCAGAAUUGUUCAUGCCGUUGACUUCAAACCGUUAUUUGGCUAUCCUUGCAUCCUCAAACAGCCCAGCAAGAGCUUGUGCCUCUGUCCUAAAGACUUUAAGGCUUCCAGCUGUCAUUACUUUCUCUAAAACCAACCAAUGGACCAUUGAGAGCCAAGCCAGCACUAACCGGUAUUUUUGGACAGUGGAAGCUCUGAGUUGCCACCGAACGAGGGUUAAACCCAUCAAAGUCACUGACGAGUAA